UGGGGAAUAUUGGACAAUGGGGGCAACCCUGAUCCAGCCAUGCCGCGUGAGUGAUGAAGGCCUUAGGGUUGUAAAGCUCUUUCGCCGGUGAAGAUAAUGACGGUAGCCGGUAAAGAAGCCCCGGCUAACUUCGUGCCAGCAGUCGCGGUAAUACGAAGGGGGCUAGCGUUGUUCGGAAUUACUGGGCGUAAAGCGCGCGUAGGCGGAUCUUUAAGUCAGGGGUGAAAUCCCGGGGCUCAACCUCGGAAUUGCCUUUGAGACUGGAUGGCUAGAAUCUUGGAGAGGUGAGUGGAAUUCCGAGUGUAGAGGUGAAAUUCGUAGAUAUUCGGAAGAACACCAGUGGCGAAGGCGACUCACUGGACAAGUAUUGACGCUGAGGUGCGAAAGCGUGGGGAGCAAACAGGAUUAGAUACCCCUGUAGUCC
RNAcentral lists this ribosomal RNA (424 nucleotides) under uncultured prokaryote. Its description in RNAcentral is "bacterial SSU rRNA". It matches the Rfam family "Bacterial small subunit ribosomal RNA", at positions 355 to 796 of the family's 1533-position model. The record is from RNAcentral.